UGGAGCAAUAAAACAUGAUUUGUUAAAGAAGCGGCAGCACGACACAAAUCAAUUAUGUGAUUACAGCAAUUAAAUUUCAAAUGAAGCAGGCAUUUUAUUGCUCAGUUGCAUUAUUUUUAUGGUGAUCAUCACUGUGUUUAUGGUGUCUGCCUUCACCUUCAAUCCCAAAAUGCCCAUGUACUAUUUGGCAUCAUUUCCCCCAUUGGAAUGAAGCAUGAAUAUGUUACAUUAAGCAUAUUGUUUAAUUUAAACAUGGUCGUUUUACAUGUUUAUGUGUUUAACGGUGCAAGAGGGAAGACAGAUGUCAAAGAGCUGGAGCCAUUUAGUUGCCGGGUCCCAGAAAUUCAUUCGGUGACCUUUCAGAGGUUGGUCCCCGGCCAUGUUGGUGCUGGGAAAACAAUUAGUCACAAAGCGAAGUUAAAUGAGGUAAAAGAAAAUAGAAACUUGAUGACCCUGAAAUGCUGGCACUCUAGAGGAGUCAAGCAACUGAGACAGAACUGCACGGAGCUGGAACUGCAAUCAAGGCUGUACAUAUUUACAGGCGUGUCAUAAAGCCAUAGUCUAUUCUCACUGUUUGUAUUAAUCUGUACCAGUGACCAUUUAAAGAGACACACACACGCACAUACUCUCCCUCUCUACCUCCCUUUCUCUCUCUCUCUCUCUCUCUCCCACAGGUCGAGGAUCAUCAUUGUUGAUGGAUUAAAAGUCCAGUUUGAAUGAGCUCGGCCAAGAGAGUAAUAAGCGGUCCACUGGCUCCGCUGUCACUUGUCAGUGCAUGUGUGUGAGUUACAGUGUGUGUGUAUUUGAAGCAGUGCCAGCAGCCCAGUGCAGUGCACUCAGCAAGAUGUUAAAGAUAAUCAGAGGCAAUGGCCCUGCAUAAACCCCCGCUAACUGGCAAGCCUGCUACAAUAUGCUGCUCAGUGAGGUAAGCUGGCACAAGCUCAUUUUUCAGACAUGCACAUUUUCACAUGCUUCAUUUUUGACAGAAAAAACAUUUUCAUUUAAAGCCACAGUGUUAAAUGUUGUUUUGUUUAUAUUACCCAAAAUAACUGGUUUGGUUUAGACCUUUCUGGAACCAUGAAUGUCCAGCCAGUAGUUUGGUCACAGGCUUAUAUUAACCAACAUUUAUAUUAUCAUGCACAUUACACUUAGAAAAGUAAGUAGGGCUGAUUGAUUUCAAAAUGAAAACAGUAAAUAUUGAUUAAUAUGCGGAUGCAGCUGUAAAAUGGUUUUCUCAUUUGGCGAGCAAAUAUUUUAUGUACUCUCAGCAUAAAAAGCAGAAUCCACCUGCAGGAAAGUUUUUCGGUGCAACAAAUAUUUUUUCAUGUCAUUUUUUUAAUGCUUUUAAAAUGUUUAAUCAUGUUUAAAAUUCAAUUAUUUUGCUUUUCAAAACAUAUUUUUCCAUACCAAAAUCCUGACUUCUGUCUUGUAAAAUAGGCCGGUGCAAUUCUCUAACGCCCUUUUGUUAUCCCGAUUUUUUCCAGAUCUUAAAACAUGAGCCAUGAGUGUUCACUGAAGCUGACAGUAUCUGUGUAUGAGAAAGGAGUACAGAUGUACAUGCACAUGUCCUCGUGACACCAGGUAAGUAGAGUUUACAGUCUGAUCAGCUGCACCUGUAUGCUUCAAUCUUAGCUCAAACUCAGAAUACUUUAGUGGUAUUUUAAUUUUUGUUUGGCGCAAAAUGCACAUCAGUUUUGACUUGUCACCUUAACCAUUUGAGACUUCUUUUGAGAAAAAUGCACAACUCAAAAGUGCACAGGUUUCUGUAUUCUAUAUCAUGACAGCAGGAGAAAGUAGCUGCCAAACAACAG
RNAcentral lists this long non-coding RNA (1811 nucleotides) under Xyrichtys novacula (pearly razorfish). The record is from RNAcentral. Lineage: Eukaryota; Metazoa; Chordata; Actinopteri; Labriformes; Labridae.